This 1329-nucleotide long non-coding RNA is filed under the name Heterocephalus glaber (naked mole-rat). RNAcentral describes it as "lncRNA (ENSHGLG00000050411.1)". Lineage: Eukaryota; Metazoa; Chordata; Mammalia; Rodentia; Bathyergidae. The record is from RNAcentral.
AAAAUAGUUCCAUGCCCAUUACAGAGUGAAAGCAAAGACUGAAAACAUGAGCAGUUGACACCAAAGGCAGGUAAUCCCUGAACUCCAGUGGGAAGUUUGCUUAGCUACAGGGUGCGGUGUCCUGCCCAGCAUCAGCAGCACGGAGGCAGGAAGACAGGAGACUGGCUAGCCACAAAGGCCAGGACUUCUCAUCUCAAGUCUGACUCCCAGAAGCCACAGAAAAUGAAACUCCCCCCAAACCCCGGUCUUUGCCUCCAGAGUUGGGCCGCAGUGACCAGUGGUCAGCAGAAUUUCCAGCUCAUUGUCCACCUGCUGAGGAAAUGGAGGGAUCUCCGGGUGGUAGACUUAAUGUCACUGAAACACGCCUCAAGGAUCCCAGCUAAUUGGAGACCAGAUCCUUUUAGGAAGAUACGAAUGGAACUCUGAAAUUUAAACCAGUAUUACAAUGAUAUAGGGGAAAGAGAUAUAAACCUGCUAGAUAUCCAAAGCGCAAGUUUGUGUUCUCUAAAAUCAAAGAAUGAAUUCUAGGAACAACGGCAGGUAAGAGUAGGAAAAAUUUAUUGAGAGAAAGAUAGCUUCUGCCUAAGAGAGACAGAAGGGGGACCGGGAAGUGGGUUGCCCAGGGACCCCGUUUCCUAGGGGGUUUAUGGAGCAAAGCCACGAGCUGAGGCGGGUUCAAGGUGGGACAAAAUUAUAGUCAACUAGGCAGAUUACAAAUACAAUCGUUUAGGGAAUAUUGAUCCAGUGGGGAAUCACAGGCGGGUAUGAGGUGGGGCAAAACUAUGAUCAACCAAUAAGAUUACAAGAAUAGUUGCUUAGGUAAUAUUGAUUAAAUGGGGAGCCAGUGGGGAAGCAAGUCACAUGGUAAGCGUACAAGGACGGAGCAAGGAUUCUCAGUAAGGGAUGGGUUAAGGUCUUGGUCCUACACCCAGGGAAUUGAUACCUAUGUAGAAUAUCAAUCACUGCUAUCCAGCCCUAGACAAAGUACAGGAAUGUAGUAGUUUGUUUUUAUAAUGCUAACCUCCAGUGAAAGUGUCUCCAUUGUCCUUUUUUUUUUUGAGAUAGGGUUUCACUAUGUAGUUCAGGCUGGCCUUGAACUCACAGCGAUCCUCCUGCCUAAGCCUCCAAAGUGCUGGGAUUACAGGUGUGUGCCACCAUGCCUGGCUCCAUUGUCCUUCAUAUUGACUCCUGGAGGGCCAACCCUGUCUAACUGCCUACAAGAUAUCUAAUUAACUUACCUAUCUACAAUAUUAAUACAUUCAGAAAACCAAAUAUACAAAUCUAGCUACAGUUAUAAGGUUCAUGAGGCAAGUAAUUUUUUCCUUUUCU